This is a long non-coding RNA of Phocoena sinus (vaquita), 5026 nucleotides long. Lineage: Eukaryota; Metazoa; Chordata; Mammalia; Artiodactyla; Phocoenidae. The record is from Ensembl.
UCUGGUGAAGCACUGAGUAGUCUACGUUAUCGUGGACUACUGCUACCAAAAAUCGCUGCUCGUUCAUUGGGGGUCACCCUGCCAGUAUCAAGUGAAAGAAUUCAUAGGUCUGAGGUUUCACCCUCCAAUUCAGGAUUUGGGCCCUUCAUCAAAUACCUGCAGUGUUUCUGAAAUACCCAACUGAAAACAGGCAAACAAUUCUAGGCACUACCACAAGCUCUGGAAAAACCGUGACCAUCCGCUGUCAGGAAUUUAAUUGUUUCAAAGACAGUGCUAAACCCUCGUAACGCACAUUAAGAACGACACGUUGUCACACCGAACCUGGACUCCCCAUCACUUCUCCAUCAUGGCCAGGAUCAUCUCACAGGUCAUGUCUUCAUCCGGGUCCUCGCCUCCAGCCGUGGCUUCUCCGAAGUCGAUGGGAACCAGCCCUCCCGGGCACUGCUCUCCGCUCACCAGGGAGGCCUCCUCGGCAGCGGCUUCUUGGGGAAAAGGCACAGCAUUGGCAAAUUUAAAAUAAAGCAGCCAAGAAAUCAGCAUUGAUAAGACGCUGCGAUUGUAUUUUGGAAACAAUGGCUGAAUUUUUAGCGCAGCAUUUUAGAAAACAAUACUUCCAUUUAUAGGACAGUACAAAUACCCUGAUCUCAACUGUUUAAGGCAGGGCUUCUCAACCCCAGCUUUAAGGCAGGGCUUCUCAACCUCAGCUCUGCAGACAUUCAGGGCCGGAGGGUUCCCUGCUGUGGGAACCUGUCCUGCGCACCGUUAGGCGGUUAGCAGCCUCCCUGGCCUUGACCCGUGGGGUGCCAGAAGCACCCUCCCCCAGCUGUGGCAACCAGAAAUGCCACCAGACACAGGCACCUGUGCAAAAUCACCCCCCGCUGAGAACCGCGGCUUGAGGUGAGUGCAGGUCCUGUGAAUUACUGGCCGGACGGCUUCACAAGUCUUGUCCUGGUGCCCACGGAAUGACACCGAUGACAUGAAAAAGGCCAGCUGCUCUCGGGACACCUGUCCCAUCAGCUAAUCAACAUACCCCGAGUCACCUCCGGGCCAAGCGUCCUGCUAGGUACACACCAUGAGCCACACUGAGAUCCGUGACCAUCCCUGCCCUCCUUCAAGCAGCUUCUGAACAGUCAGCCCAACUCUGGGAGUCUCAAAACAGAGGCUCACAUCCACAUCCAACCCCCUACCCGUUUUCCAAAUUCCUCCCUGAGAAGACCCGUGGAAAGUCACUGCCGAGGUACCGGGAAUGAGAGACAGAGGGCCCCGCGCAGAAGGAGGCUUUUAUCGCAUGUGACUUCAAACUUGUUGCGACAUAGUUUUGCCUACCGGUCCUUGAAGCAUUUAGGAGGGGGGGGGGGGAGAGGAAUAAGACUCAGGCCUUGUGUACGAAGAUGAACACAAGAGUCGCGGAGUAGGUGCCGUCUGACAGUAACUUGCAGAAAUCUACCGCGGACCUGGUGGGGGACACGCUGACCCACUAACGCAGCAAAAGCAGAAAUGAAACGAUGACCUACCUGGAGGAUGUAGGUUCAAAAAAAAACCCCUGAAGUGCAAAUCAAGUCCUGUUUCUGGCUAAUACAAGUCCUGUUUCUGGCUAAUACGAGUCAGGUUACUUGUCUCAAUUGACACUUUGCUUUGAAUGCACAGCUGACCCUCUUCGAUACGCAAAACGUUUUAAUAUAUCCAGUCUUUUCAUCCCCGAUUUUUAAAACUGCAAGAGUUUUGCCCUUUCUGCCCUUCUGGCUCACGAACAGUCAACGCCAGCCGUGUCUCCGGGGCCCUUCCCAGAGCUCGUCGACAGAACGGUUCUGUUUCAAAGACUAGUGUAAGUAAAUGGGGAAGAAGGCGCACGUGGGGACCUACUCUUCAUCACGAAAAAAGGUUUUUUUCUGUUCUUUCAAUGUCAACGUCCAGAAAGCACGUUGGGGAGAGGUCAGCUCAGGAUUAAUGAGGGUGAGGUGCUACCCCACAACUGCGGAGGCCGUGCCCAGGCUGGAAGCCCUCAGGCUUGAACAGUGGAGGGGCCGACGGGGCAGGGGAGAGGGGAGUCCAUGGGAACAAGAGGGAGCAGAGUGGAGCUGGCAGUCCUGCCGGUGUAUUUAUUUUUUCUCAAGACACAAGUAUAUUUGAGGCUGGUGAGAAGGAUCUGGCUGAACCGGACGAGCUGGCCGCUGGGGAGGGAGAAGAGAAACGUGGAGGGCUGAGCAGGUGGGAGAGGUGCCACGGGGUGUCCACGGGAGCCCGGGGCGGGCUGUGGCCUCCGCCAUCCAGUUCUCCACUGGCGGACGGCAUGAAGGCCUGCGGUGCGGGGCUGCACUCAGGAUAAAAGGGACCACGUGUGAGCUCUCGGUGGGACAUGGUAACUCCUGCAGGAGAUAAAACAGGUGCUCCAGAGAUGGGCCGUGGGUGCGAUUCUGGAUGGUUGUAACUGAGCUGGGCAGCUGUGCACCGACUGAGGAGCCCUAGGUCCUGCCAGGUAACCCGCCCUCCAGGACCUGGCUCCCGCGAUGCCUCCAGGGUUUGAGCUUUGCCAGGUGGGUGAGACGUGGAAAAAGAACCAGGGAGGUUUGGCAUGGGGACAGUUACUGAAAUGAGGGACGCUGCACAGAGGGGAAAGGGACGGACUGCAGGACGCCCUGUUAAACGUGAGUUUCCGAUAAAACACUGAAUCAUUGCUUAGCAUAAGUUUAUCCCAGAUAGUGUGUGGGAUAUACUCAGACGACAAAGUUAUUCAUUGUUUAUCUGAAAUUCAAAUUUAACUGGGCGUGUCCUCCACUUUACCUGACAACCACCCUUGGAGGAAGGAAGAGGCUUCCAGCUCUCCGUGGGAACAUUCACAAGUCCAGGAUUGGGGCUGGAAUCAAAAUCUAGGGAAUUUAAAGGAUGAGGAUGCCGUGCAAACAUUUUCCAUUUGUUUUUGCUGAAGGUUGCCUUGGUUUCCAGUCACACUCUAAGUCUAAGAUUCUCAUACGAAAGGAACAGAACAGCUGCACAGGAACUAAGGCCUCCCCCUCGUGGAGCAGAACCUUCCACAGGGCCGACAGCGCACGGACAACCCCUGUGUUAACCUGGGGACUCACAUCUGCUCCCUGAGGCUGGAGGGAAAAGACUGACGCCUGGAAUGGGUUGAAUGGCAGCCCUGCAAAAGACACGUCCACAUCCUAACCCCCAAACUGAGACUGGGACUUUAUUUGGAAGAAGGGUCUUUGAAGAUGUAAUGAAGGCCCUCGAGAUGAGAUCAUCCUGGAUCUUCCAGGCAGGCCCUAAAGCCAACGACACGUGUCUGUAUGAGACAGAAAAGGUGAGACGCAGAUACAGGGGAUGCGCCCACGGGCAGACAGAGGCAGAGACGGGGUGAUGCAGCCACAGGCCCAGGGGCGCCUGGGCCACCGGAGGCCGGAAGAGGCAAGGAAGGGUGCCUCCCCGGCCCCAGAGCGUGCAGAUGGAGCGUAGCCCUGCUGAUGGCCUUGAUUUAGGGCUUCUGCCUCCAGACCUACAAGCAAAUCAAUUCCCGUUGUCGUACGCCACCCAGCAUGUGGUCAUUUGCUGCGGCAGCCCCAGGAGAUGGACACAGGCCCAUAGCUCCACCAGGCACAGGGACGGUCCACCAGCACGACCAAGGACAGCGGGGGCAUGUGCAGCGUCAUCGCCUGGCUCUCACGUCCCGUCAGGACCCCACGUGACGGGGGGUGUGGACCCACCGGGGUCCCCAGGCUCACUUCCUCUGCGCAUCCUCCCACAUCACCAACCCGCCCGUCGGGGCAGCAGCAGCAAUGGCUGCUGGGACCAGGCGCCUGCUGGGGUCGGACACUCAGGGUUUCUGGAUGCGUCCCCUGCAUAGUAACGCUCAGCACCCAGGGAAACGCACAACCAGAGAACCACCGUCAAAAGAAAACCGGAUUCAUUUAACAGGAGGUACCGUCUUCCUCGGCUGCCUCUUUCGGGAUGGUCGGCUUCCUCAUUUUUGUUCGUCUUCCUUUUUCCGAGGUGGUUGGCUUUUCUCGCCUGGAGCCACACUUUUUCAGGUGUCUCUGCAUGUUAUUCUGCCGGAGAAAUGAGAGCACAGGGAAAGCCAGCAUCACUGGGAAUGGCGUGGAAAACCCACGGCUAAAGAGACGGGUAGCGGGGAGGAACGCGCGCCUUGGGUAAUCUGGUACAAAAAAGAUGGUUUUUUCAAAGGUGACCCUUUUCCGUUGUGUUUCGGUCUAGCCGAAACCCAGCUUAUUUUAAAAUAUUUUUAAAGUCGUGGACGUCAAUGAGAAGACAAAAUUCAUUUUCCUAGACUGCUUCUACUGAAGCGAGGCUUGAAAAAUUCAACAGACCCUCGAUUUUAUGAAAAUCAGUAAAAAUAUACCACGGGCACUCUACUGCCCUACCGGCUUCCCUCCAGACCCACUACGCAUGGAGGUAUUAAGACUGUACAACGUUUGGAAUUAAGAAGGCAGCUCAGAGCUUUCCUAUCGAACCUAGUAACGAUAUAUUUUUGUCUAUGAACACGCAGGAUGGUUUAAAAUAAGUGAGAACACUUACACUAAGUCCAUAUGCUAAAGUAAGAUACUGGCGGCAUGUCAUUAAAUAUGCUGAUUAUAUAAGAUGUGACCCCUAAUUUCCACUGAGACUUCAGUGUGGUGGUCGGGGCUGUCCUGGUGCGUCGGGGGGAAGAGGAAGGAUCCAUAUGUAAGGGGAGGGGGAUGGUAUUUACAUUUCUUCCAUUUUAUGCUUAUCCAUAGGGGCUGGCAAACUGCUUUUGAGCUACAACGGCAGACUUGAGUAGUUGGGGCAGAAACUGGUCUGUGAAGCUGAAAAUAUUUACUCUGGCCCUUUACAGAAAAAAGCGUGCCAAUCCCUGGUUUAUAGGAUGACGAAGUAUAUAAAACCAAGGCUUUUGGAGUCAAGGAUUCCUUUGUGAAUAUGAUAAAAAGCAAGGCUCCUUCCCCAGCAACGGGCAUGUGUAUCUCCAUACACAGUCUCCCUACAACUUCACGAAGUUCAUGGUUAAGAACUCCUGACACAAGUUUGGAUGAGC